AAGGCAAGGAUAUUCUAAAUAGAGACAACAUCUUUAAAAGGCAUGGAGGUAAGAAAGAGCAGGCAGAUGGUAGGAGCUAUGACUGAACUGGGUUCCCCCAAAUGUAUAUGUUGGAACCAUAUCCCCCUGUACCUCAGAAUAUGACUGUCUUUGGAGAUAGGGCAGUUGAGGGCUUCAAGGGGUGGUUAAAUUAAAAUGAGGCUGUCAGGGUGGGCCUAUUCCAAUGUGACUAGUGUCCUUUAGGAAGAGCAGAUUAAGACAUACAGAGGGACACGAGGGACAUGCACACGCAGAGAAAAGGCCGCUUGAGGACACAGCGAGAAGAUGGCUGUCACACUGUGGAGUGUAUAUUUGGUUUUUGUCCUCGUUUCCUGGCAUAUAAUUUCUAAAAUCCUCUGGAUCUUCACAAUUACGCCUUUGUAUGCUAAUGAGUUGAUGGGUGGCUAGCAGCCCCUAGGUAGCUUCAGGAGGAGCUGGUCACUGGAAAGACCAAGGCAGCAUUAGAGGGUUGGGACUUUCAGCCCCGCCCCCCAAUCUCCGGGGAGGGGACGGGGGUAAAGGUCAAGUUGACCACCAAAGGCCAAUGGUUUGACGAAUCAUGUCUGUAUAACGAAGCCUCCAUAAACCCCCCAAAGUUAGGAGAGCUUCUGGAUAGCUGAACGCAGGGAAAGGGGCACAUCUGGAGAGGGCAGGGAAGCCUCACACCCCUUCCCUCAUACCUCACCCUAUGCAUCUCUUCACCUGUAUCCCUUGUAAUAUCUUUAUAAUAAAGGAGUAAAUGUGAGUGUUUCCCUGAGUUCUGUCAGCUGCUCUAGCAAAUUAAUAAACCCAACGUGCCAGCCAUGGGAACCCCAAUUUAUAGUUGGUUGGUCAAAAACACAGGGUAGACAACCUGGGGCGUGUGACUGGUGUCGGAGGUGGAAGGCAGUCUUGUGGGACUGAGCCCUCACCCUGUGGGAUCUGAUGCUCUGGACAGUGUCAGAAUUAAACUGAAUUAGAGGACACCCAGCUGGUGUCCACUACAGAAGUUAUUGCUUGCUUGGUGUGUGGGGAAACCUCCUACACAUUUGGCCACAGAAGUCUUCUGUGUUGAUGGUUGUGGAGUGAGAGCAGAUGAAAAACAGUUUGUUUUUUCUGCUCAGUGACUGCAAGCCAAGGAGUGAGGGCUCAGAAGAAACCAAAUCUGUCAACAUCUUGAUCUGGGACUCCUGGCCUCCAGACUGUGGGAAGAUAAAUUUAUGUUGGCCUUUAGUAACUUAUUAUGGCAGCCCGAGCUGACUACCACAGGAGGGGUCUCUGAGCUACCUGGAGGGAGAGGGUAAAGCAAAGAACGACAAGAGAUGAGAUGGGGGACAGAGGUGAUGUGCAGGGACUUGCAUGCCACACUAAGGGGCUUGAAGAUUUUCCUGCAGGUGAGGGGAAGCUUUUGGAGAGUUUUAGCAAGGAGGUGGCAGAACCAUGAGGUGUUUUAAGGAGAGCUCUCUGGUGGCAGCAAGGAAGGGCAAGACCAGAAGUAGAAAAUAGAAAACACUUUGGGGCUGUUGGACUGCUACAAGCAAGUGGUGAAGAGAGAGACAGUGGUAUUAGGGGUGGAGAAGAGGAGUUGAAUUGAGGAAAUCCUUAGGAGAUGAAAUUGGCAGUUGUUAGCAAUGGCUCCCAGGGAAGGAGUGAAGGAGAGGCAGGAGCUGGAGCUCCCAGUCUCCUACCCUGUUGUGGGUGGACCUGUGCCACCAGCGAUGAGUACAACACUAUGGGAGGGGAGCAGAUGAAGCAGGGUAGAGGGGAUGAUCAGUAAGAGAUGACUGUGGGGUAACCAGGAGAGAUGUCAACGGGGAGUUAAGCAUUCACGCUUGAUCUUUAGAGAGAGUGGGGCUGCUGGUGGAGACUUGGGAGCCUUUGGCUUAAAAGGGGGUAUGGCCGGCCAUGCCCACACCCCACCCGUGUGCACACCAGCCCUUGGCAUGCUCUCUGCGACUCUUCGUCAGAGGGUGGCCCUGGGGUUGCCUGAGCCUGUCUUUCCUGUGAACACAUGGAGCUGGAAGCACCUGGGACUGUACAUUUUUCCAACCAAUGAGACAAGUGCAGGGGUACAUGCACCCUGGGGGUCCACUGCCUGAUGCGAACAACUGAGGGUGACCCAUGCUUCUUCCAGAGUAACCCUGCAUGACCUGGCCUGAUGUCACGGCACCCUGGCUUGGCCUCCUCACUUCCAUUUCCCUUCCCUUUCCACCUCCUGGGAACAUAUAUUAGUCUGUUCCUGAAUUGCCAUAAAGAAAUACACAAGACUGGGUAAUUUAUAAAUAAAAGAGGUUUAAUUGGCUCACGGUUCUGCAGGUUGUACAGGAAGCAUGAUGCUGUCACCUGCUCGGAGGCCUCAGGAAACUUACAAUUAUGGCAGAAGGCAAAGGGGAAGCAGGACAUCUUACAUGGCUGGGGCGGGAGGGAGACAGUUGGUGGAGGAAGGUGCCACACACUUUUAAAUAACCAGAGCUCAUGAGAACUCACUCACUAUUGUGACCACAGCACCAAGGGGGGAUGGUGUUAAACCAUGACAAACCACCUCUGUGAUCCAGUCACCUCCCGCCAGGCCCCACCUCCAACACUGGGGAUUACAAUUCAACAUGAGAUUUGGGCGGGGACACACAGCCAACCCGUAUCAGAACAAUUCCUAAUAAAUCUCUUUCCCAUACCCCUUGCAUCAGGGUCUGCACCUGGAGACUCCCACCUAAGAUGGGGGUUUAGAUGAGACCACUCUGGGAGGACACGCAGCCGAGUGUGGAGGCCCCGAGGAAGAUCAGCUCUGAAGACACAGGCAGGCAAAGGGCAGACCUCGAAGGAGAUGGAGGAGGAAUGACAGAGGGCAAGAAGAAUCAGGUUUACUGUCUGCCAGGCUGCCAAACCCCAACCCUCGCCACAUCCGCAGCCACCACGUAAAGUGACUGUUAGAACUUCAAACGAAGGAUCUGACCCCCGGAAAUGGCCUCAUGCUAGUUUUUUCCUAAACAGUCACCAGGAAAAUGACGGAAGGCAAAUCGAAACGCAUGCCCUGAAAGACUUAGAACAUAACCAUCACAUCUGGGGGACAAGAAGCCCACCCCAACUUAAUUUAAAAAGGAAACACAGCAGAUGUCAUCAGUUGGCAGGGAGGUGUCUUGAAGGAAAGAAGGAGGGGAAUGAGAGGGCUGUG
This 3187-nucleotide long non-coding RNA is filed under the name Homo sapiens (human). RNAcentral describes it as "HSALNT0353793". The record is from RNAcentral. Lineage: Eukaryota; Metazoa; Chordata; Mammalia; Primates; Hominidae.